UGAAACGUGGCUUUUUGAAGACAGCCAUCGUGCAUUCACUAAUGUGCAUUCACUAGUGUACAUUCACUAAUGUGCAUUCACUAAUGUGCAUUCACUAGUGUGCAUUCACUAGUGUGCAUUCACUAGUGUGCAUUCACUAAUGUGCAGCCAAGUUGAAAGGGUGAGAUGCUUUUGCUACAUGGUUGCUUUUAACAGCUUCAGCUCUGGCUCUCUGAUGUUUUUGUUUGGGGGUUCCUAGAUCAUUGAUUGUCUUGUUUUGGUUUUAAUUUUCUGAAGGAAGAGCUCGAUGCUUUCCCCUCCCUGAAUCAGCUGUGCACCUGGUGGACAAGACAACAUUGUUUCUUUGAGCCUGAGUAAAUACUGACCCUCAGUUCACCUCCUGCAUGCUAGAGCCUCUCCUGCCUUCCUCCUUCCUGCUUGCCUUCCUCAUUUCCCCCGGAAGGGGCGGUGCUCAAGCCCAGGGCUUUCAAGGCUGUGAGGCAUGUGUUCUGCUGAUGAGCUACGAUCCUCAACCCCAAAGACGACUUUUUAUAGCAUGCAUCAUACCCUCUAUGGAUCAAGCCAGUAUUAGGUGUCCUGCAUGCUGCCUUGUUCCCUGCCCUGCUAGGGUUUUUCAUGUCUUCCAGUGUUUGUUCUUCUGUGGAACACAGCACUUCCUUCUAGCACUUCAGCACCAGUUAUAGGAAAGGAUUGCUUUCUUUCCUUUUAGGGUUGUUAUGAACACACACAUACACACACACACACACACACACACACACACACACACACCGAGUAAAUUAGGAACUUCAACAUUCAAUGUAGUGGAUGUUUGUCAGGGAGUCUCUAUCUUGACAUAUUGGCAUUCUGAGCUGGGUGUGUCCAGGACAUAUUAUGUAUUAUUUGGUAACAUUGUUGACUUCUAGUCACAAAUCUCAAAUCAUCUCCCCAACCUACGACAACCAAAAGUUCCUCUAGACAUUGCCAUGUAUUCCCUGGGGAGUACCCUCUCUCUCCCACACUGUCUUGGAUAUCUCCAUCCUGCAGCCCCAGCCUCCUGAGUUCAGGGUUUAUAGGCACCCACCACCUCACUUAGAUCACGAUUUACUGUUUACAAACAGUAUUUAAAAAGGUCUUGCAUUUGUUGUGCUGAGGCCUGAAGCCACCCUUGCUACACAGACAUGCAUUUGGCUACUGGAAUUACCUUGGAGUGAGGCUCUUAAUAACUUGAGGCAGCCAUUGACCACAUAGUGAGUUUGAGACUAGCUUUUCUACAUGAGACUUGGGUUUGGUUACAUUUUAGACUUGGGUUUUGAAUCUGGUUAGUAAUCACCGACAGCGUGCCUUCUCUAUAGCUGUGUCAUUGCCUUAUGUCCUGUCAGCUUUUGUGCUUCUGAGUUCAUUUCUACUCAAGUGGCCAUGAGUGGAAACAAGGUGGUCAAACCAGGAGGACAGUUGGUUAAGCAGAGCCUCUAGCAAAUCCAAAUGUUCAGUAUAUAAAAUGUUCUAGAAUUUGGAAAAUAUAUGUUAUUUUCUGGCAUUUCCUCUCUUUCUAACUACCCCACCCUGACCCAAGACUUUUCUUAUUUACAUGGACUUUUCUUAGCUAGAUGGGACUGGGGCCUUCGGACCAGAGACUCUGAACAGACUCUGAAUUGGAGAGAGCACUGUCCAGGAAGAAUUGACUAGGGAGAGCCUUCCCUUCCUGGAGGCUUGAGGUUAUGUUACAGUAUUGUGGAGUUUUGUUGCUGAAAAAUCCUCCUUCUAUUCUCAAGGGCAAGAUUGCCAAAGUGUAACAUGUCAUUGGGUGGGGUGUGGAGGUGUUGUUAAAGCUUUAGAGUUUCAAUAACUCCUUGUUAACUGUACGGGAAUCCCCCACAAUGGAUGUGCACAUACACACCUGUUGCAGGUGAGAAGCAUUCAAUGGUGCUGUAAACGAAAUGUUCUGAAAACUAGAAAUGCCAAUCAGAUGUUUGUGGAAAUUAAACAGAUAACUCAAAGCAGGUGGAUUCCUGG
Molecule: long non-coding RNA, 1992 nt
Filed under: Rattus norvegicus (Norway rat)
Lineage: Eukaryota; Metazoa; Chordata; Mammalia; Rodentia; Muridae
Description: long non-coding RNA NONRATT008544
Source: RNAcentral